ACAAACCUUAACUAGUUUUCUAAACAAAAUUUAUUUAUUUUUCUAAAUUUAUUUUUCGAACUUAUAUUCAAAUACCCAAAAAGAAUCUUCGGGUGAAGUGGGAUGAUCCAACCUAUGUACAGAUAUAUUCUUUUUCAUGUUGUUUUCACAAAUAUUGUCAAGCAAAUUCAAGCCUAGUAGAACCAGCCAAUCAAGAAAAUCCUUUCGUCGAAGCCCAACCAAGAUGAGGCUAGGCCAAUUGAGCUAAGUGAGCAAUGGAUAGCUCUAAUCUCGACAACAACAUCACUCGCUACAUUUUCCCUGUUCUACCAAUCAACUUUCUAUUCAAACAAUCAAAAGACAAAUGUUGCAUUGAUUCAAAAUAGAAAAUGAAAUCAAGAAUUCCAGCUAAUUCACCCUCUUCAGAGCCUCUACUUGUAACAAUAACAAACAUCAUAUUCACUAAAAAAAUGGCCUCUCACAAGUCUUCUUUCCAAAACAAUCUCAGCAGCUAUUACGUACCAACAUUCAAAGCAUGUUCAUCAAUAAGCAACAGCUUAAUAGAAAAAAGAAGAGCAAUCAAGGCAAAGAAAAGAACAUCUUUCUCUGGUUAUUUUUAAAAAAUUUAAAGAAUUAGAAAAGAAAAUCAAGAUAUCUUUAUUAUUUUGCCAAAACUAGAAAAAAUAAUUUGGCAUCUGAAAUCAAAAGAAGAAGAGAUCAUCAGUGACUUAAAAACGAGCAGGAAUCAUGGGAAUGAAUCCAUCAUGUUGUUGGUCUUUCAGACUCAUCAUUUGAUCCUUUUUUUUAUCAUCCAAUCACUAAAAACCAUGUAAAACGCUAUCUUCUUCUUCCGAAAAGAACACAUAUAAUAGCUUACCCAAUGGGGAAAAUGCGAUUGGAGUGCAUUUAUAGACUCGAAGCCGACGGCCGCACCCUAAAACCCUGGAAC
Molecule: long non-coding RNA, 928 nt
Filed under: Gossypium barbadense (sea-island cotton)
Lineage: Eukaryota; Viridiplantae; Streptophyta; Magnoliopsida; Malvales; Malvaceae
Description: long non-coding RNA (GBAR_LNC004716)
Source: RNAcentral